RNAcentral lists this ribosomal RNA (495 nucleotides) under uncultured bacterium. Its description in RNAcentral is "partial 16S ribosomal RNA". It matches the Rfam family "Bacterial small subunit ribosomal RNA", at positions 28 to 507 of the family's 1533-position model. The record is from RNAcentral.
GACGAACGCUGGCGGCGUGCCUAAUACAUGCAAGUGGAACGCUGAAGGAGGAGCUUGCUUCUCUGGAUGAGUUGCGAACGGGUGAGUAACGCGUAGGUAACCUGCCUGGUAGCGGGGGAUAACUAUUGGAAACGAUAGCUAAUACCGCAUAAUAGCAGUUGUUGCAUGAUAACUGUUUGAAAGGUGCAAUUGCACCACUACCAGAUGGACCUGCGUUGUAUUAGCUAGUUGGUGGGGUAACGGCUCACCAAGGCGACGAUACAUAGCCGACCUGAGAGGGUGAUCGGCCACACUGGGACUGAGACACGGCCCAGACUCCUACGGGAGGCAGCAGUAGGGAAUCUUCGGCAAUGGACGGAAGUCUGACCGAGCAACGCCGCGUGAGUGAAGAAGGUUUUCGGAUCGUAAAGCUCUGUUGUAAGAGAAGAACGAGUGUGAGAGUGGAAAGUUCACACUGUGACGGUAUCUGACCAGAAAGGGACGGCUAACUACGUG